RNAcentral lists this ribosomal RNA (550 nucleotides) under uncultured bacterium. RNAcentral describes it as "bacterial SSU rRNA". It matches the Rfam family "Bacterial small subunit ribosomal RNA", at positions 355 to 896 of the family's 1533-position model. The record is from RNAcentral.
UAGGGAAUCUUCCGCAAUGGACGCAAGUCUGACGGAGCAACGCCGCGUGAGUGAAGAAGGUUUUCGGAUCGUAAAACUCUGUUGUUAGAGAAGAACAAGUGCUAGAGUAACUGUUAGCGCCUUGACGGUAUCUAACCAGAAAGCCACGGCUAACUACGUGCCAGCAGCCGCGGUAAUACGUAGGUGGCAAGCGUUGUCCGGAUUUAUUGGGCGUAAAGCAAGCGCAGGCGGUUCCUUAAGUCUGAUGUGAAAGCCCCCGGCUCAACCGGGGAGGGUCAUUGGAAACUGGGGAACUUGAGUGCAGAAGAGGAGAGUGGAAUUCCAUGUGUAGCGGUGAAAUGCGUAGAUAUAUGGAGGAACACCAGUGGCGAAGGCGACUCUCUGGUCUGUAACUGACGCUGAGGCUCGAAAGCGUGGGUAGCAAACAGGAUUAGAUACCCUGGUAGUCCACGCCGUAGACGAUGAGUGCUAAGUGUUGGAGGGUUUCCGCCCUUCAGUGCUGCAGUUAACGCAUUAAGCACUCCGCCUGGGGAGUACGACCGCAAGGUUG